UACGAAGGUGGCAAGCGUUGUUCGGAUUCACUGGGCGUACAGGGUGUGUAGGCGGUUUGGUAAGCCUUUUGUGAAAGCUUCGGGCCUAACCCGGAAAGCGCAGAGGGGACUGCCAGGCUAGAGGACGGGAGAGGAGCGCGGAAUUCCCGGUGUAGCGGUGAAAUGCGUAGAGAUCGGGAGGAAGGCCGGUGGCGAAGGCGGCGCUCUGGAACGUAUCUGACGCUGAGACACGAAAGCGUGGGGAGCAAACAGGAUUAGAUACCCUGGUAGUCCACGCCCUAAACUAUGGACACUAAGUGUCGGCGGUUUACCGCCGGUGCCGCAGCUAACGCAGUAAGUGUCCCGCCUGGGAAGUACGGCCGCAAGGUUGAAGCUCAAAUGAAUGGAC
RNAcentral lists this ribosomal RNA (388 nucleotides) under uncultured Nitrospira sp. RNAcentral describes it as "bacterial SSU rRNA". It matches the Rfam family "Bacterial small subunit ribosomal RNA", at positions 524 to 914 of the family's 1533-position model. The record is from RNAcentral. Lineage: Bacteria; Pseudomonadati; Nitrospirota; Nitrospiria; Nitrospirales; Nitrospiraceae.